Non-coding RNA from Camellia sinensis, 541 nucleotides. The record is from RefSeq and is a predicted model, not a curated record. NCBI's taxonomy places the organism in Eukaryota, Viridiplantae, Streptophyta, Magnoliopsida, Ericales, Theaceae.
CUUUUCAGCGUCCCACCCAUCUCCGACCAGCAACAAUAACACAUCGCACACCGCGGACAGUUGGAACGAGUGUGUUCAACCAUUUGCACCAGAAAUGGAGCAUGUAUGUGGCAGGCCAUUGGGACUACGGUUUGAUAAAAAAACUGGAGAUCUUUAUAUUGCUGAUGCCUACUUCGGCCUUCAAGUAGUAGGGCCAAAUGGAGGUUUGGCUACUUAGAUUCUGUUUAAACAAAAUUUAAGCUCUGCAUUUUUUAUUAGUUAUCUUACUGAUUUUUGUUACAAAUUGAUGAUGUUGGCAUGGAUACAAUGAUGUUUUUGAGCCAGAUUGAUGAUAUUUGCAUGGGCGCAAUUUACAUUAUAUUUUUGUUUAUAGAAAACAUAUAGACUUGAUAUGUUUUGUAUCAUUCUUGUUUGUUUUUUUUUUUUUUUUUUUUUUAAUUUAGAUUUUAAGUGUUGGUUUGGAUAGUAUAUUUAUUUGUUGGAUUAUACUACGUUUAUGGAUUUUUAUUUUCUUUGAUAUGUACGGUUAAUAGUUAGGUUU